Meleagris gallopavo (turkey) is the source of this 4026-nucleotide non-coding RNA. Lineage: Eukaryota; Metazoa; Chordata; Aves; Galliformes; Phasianidae. The record is from RefSeq and is a predicted model, not a curated record.
CCACUCCUCUGGAGUCUAUCAUGUGGGCCCAGGAUAGGAGCAGAAAACUGAUUGCAAACAUCUUACACACUGCUAUUUAGAGGAGGUAUUCAGUAACGCAUCCCAGUGGUGAUAGCUGAAUUUGCUGGUUGACUGUAAUCAUCUACUUUAUUCUUGAAAGAUUGGCAGUCAGUGCACAUUGGAAGGUGGUGAGGCAGAUACCAGUGACAAUGAAGGUCUGUUCAUUUCUGCUGAAGCAACUGUAGAGGUUGAGUAUCUGAAAGGCAGAACAGAGGUUUAUAAUGUGCUGCUGGCAAACAAGAUCAUUUAAAGUUUAAACAAUAGAUUAGUGUGAGAAAAUAUUGAUAAUCUGAAGAUUUUGGACCUCUGACAUCUGUAAAUCAUCUCAGGAAUAUGCUUUCUGUUAGAACUGACAGCACUUUUCACUUCUGGUCUGAGCGUCACAAAAGUAAUUUCUCUGAGGAUUCCUUUACAAGUCUUGGCCACAGUUGAAAAUGCAAGCCUUGUGCAUUUAAUUCCCAAUUGUCAGAGAGUUUUGCCCAAUAUUUAAUUAUAAAGAUGGCCAUGGAUGUAAGGAAUUGUUUUUCAGAAGAAUUUGUUAGAUUCAGAAACUGGUUCUCAUAGUAUUUUUGUGUUCUAUAUUUUGUUUUUUUUCUUUCAAGUAACCUGGUUAAAUAACUGGUAGCUCAGAAAAGCAAACAAUUUUUAAAUCUCCAUCUGACUGGUUGCUGGCUACUGAAUAGCCAGGAAGCACAAUUUACAGUCUCACUAAGAAAACAAAAACAGAACAAAAAAUGUAUUUUAUAUCUGAUUUUUAAAACUUUUAAAUGCACCUGCACAACUCAGGACUUUGAACUUCCUUCCAGAAAAAGAAUGCAUUCACCAAAGGUACCCAAGGGCAUCACAGAUCAAAUGUUAGACAAGAUUACACUUCAUUCUGUCUUGCAUCUUGUUCCUCCCAUAUUUUACUUGAGACAUUUGUAUUGAGUUAGUCAUGGUUAUACAAGCCACAUUAGACUAAUGGCAUUCUCACUGUAUCUUUUAAGCAAUAAAGAUCCAAAAACAUUAUAGACUGCAGUUAAGUUGGAAAGUAGGGUUAAGUGAGACAAUUUCCAGCUUCCUUUUAUAAUGACUAUUAAGCUGUUGAUUUUGAACCGCUUAUUCAAAAUAUAGCCACCUUUGUAGAUAGGCGUCUUGGCUAGCUGCACAGCACAUUGAGAGCAUUUAAAGGGCCUUUCACAGGAUUUGCUGUGAUUCAUCUCCUCCAUUCUGCACUAGACCUUUAUUGUGUCUUCUCCACAUUUCUGUGGCCUCCACACCACAUGUGGGCUCCCAGAGAACAAUGCCAGGCACAUCAAUCCUCAUGCUGCUUCAAGGGCACUUCAUGCAUCCUGUUAUUAUGUCUCCAAAUUGUGACUGCGACAUUGAAAUAAGGUUUAGGAAACACUAAGUAAGCAUAGCAUUAGCUGAAAUAUUACAAUAUUUUAACAAAGAAAUUAGGAGGUCAACUGUUUUUUCAACUGAUGGACUUCAGUGAUUAGCAUAACACCUCUCCACAGCCUCCAGGAACAGUGCCAGCAAUCUCCUGCAACUGAUCUUUUUCAAGGUGUCAUAUGGGCUCCAGGAGCCUUGGCUUUAUGACAAGCACUGACUGCCUCUGUGUCCACAAAGAACAGUGAAAGCCAAUCAUGUGCUGUUUGUGCAAUCAAAAGGGAGAGAUAAGAUCGAAAGCACAUAGAAAAGAACAAAGUAAAAUUAAGCUUUGGUUAAAAAUUAAAUAAUUAUAUAUAGCUGGUAAAAACAUGUGAACAAAUAUAUAUAUUAUAUAAUAAAAUCCCAGGUAAGCAGAGAAGGCUUAGCAUUUAACAAACCAAGCACACAUGUAGAUUACUCUAAAGCACAGGAUUUUUUCUGUAUCACACAAUUCUGGCUCCCAACUUUAACUUCUUCAUGGCUGAUCAUUUCAUCUCAACGCAGGGCAUACACUUGAGAGGAAAAUAUUUACCUUAUUUUUAUCUGAAUGAAUAGUCACAAAAGCCACUUGUUACAUACUUUCUCAUGGCAAUAUUGUCAAGCAAAGCACUUUGUUUAAAAAAUUAAGCAGAAGUGUUCAUGUUGUAAUGGUCCCAUAUUCUUUCUGUGAAGAGAUAUGCAUGAAUAAGGUUCCCAUUACCCAAUACAAUUAAAAUAGCAAAUUGCUUCAAAGAGCAAUGUCUCCAUAUUUUGAAAAGUGAAUUUACUAAAUAGUAGUAGUAAGCUGUAUUCUGUUCAGGCAUAUUACACAAAUAGUGAGAGUAUGUAGGUGAAAUGAACAUGCUAGCUAUAAAUAAUCCAUUCAGAUUUUCUUCUAAAAUAUUGACAGGUAGAUGUCUGAAACACUGUAUUUAGGCUUUCUUUUUCCUUCAGAUGAAAGAAAGAAGAUGACUUUUAGCAGCAGAGCAGAUUAUUUGCAGUGCUAAUGUAUUUUAUCCAACAUCAGGCUUGUACAUUUAUCACACUAUGAAGAAUUGUUGCUAUUGCUAGUUGUUGAGGUUUUUCCUUUCAUUUGGAAAUGCUAUAUUCUCCAAUAUGAAAGUUUUGUUCAGGAAUAUACCAUCGUAAGUUUAUCUGACUCUGCAAUGAAGUUACUGUCCAGUGUGGAAAGAUAGAUGCCAGAAUAAAAAGUAGGUGGUUGGUUGCAGAAGUGGAAACUGAUUAACUGAGAUAUGAAUACAGGCUGCACACAACUAGAGAUUUGAAAAACUUUUUCCUUUUUGUUAUCUCAAACUGUUUCUGUGUCUAAAGAGUUUCCGUGGAAAACAUUAGUUUUACUAAUGUAAUUUUACUUAUUUAAUGUAAAUUUACUUAUGUAAUGUAGUUUUACUUAUGCAAUUUUUGAAGUCUUGAUCUUCUGAAAAAUUUGAGUUAAUUGAAAUUUAGAGCUGACUUGUGUUGUUGCCCGUCUGCAGAGCAAGCAACAAUGGACUAUUUGAUUUUUGUUUUUUUUUCCUCAAAGCUGGGCAUGUCUUCUCUCUAUGUUUGAAGGUACUCUAAAAAGUAGUUACCAUUUCAUGACCAUUAAAAAGGAGGAAAUAGCUGAUCCUUUCAUGCUUGGAUGAGAAACUCCUGUACUCAACUCUUAAACGCCAGCAGCUGUUCACGAAAAAUUUGCUAACUUUCAGUAUGCUUCCUUUCAAUAAUAUUCUUUCUUUGAAGAAUAUAUUUAUUUCCAUGCUUGUGCAUUACUGUGCAUACUAAACAUUUGCCAUUCAUUUUUCCUUAACAGAGAAUUCAACAUCAGUAUAAAUGCUGAAUAAUAUAGAUCAGUAUCUAUGAGUUUUCAGGAUGAUAAAAUGAUUCUAUUGCCACCACAAAGUUCACUUUCUUGAUGACUGUAAGAUGCUUUGGAACAUUUUUUUUCAUUUUGUUCUCUCACUAAAACUGAUGUCAUUUCACAUAAGAGAGAAAGUCUGUUCCUGCUUCCUCCAUUUUCAGCUUGCUUGCUUCUCUGUUUUGGGUUAAAGUGUUUUCGUUAUUUGAGAAGAUGACGAUUGAGCUUGAAUGCUUUUUCUAAUUCAUUAAGUUGAUACGCUGAAUGCUAGUGUCGUUCUUCAUUCUCAGUCAUAUCAAAUAGAAAACAGUAUUUUCUGAACUGUGGUUUCUGACUCAGUUAAACUUCAUAUGGUCAUGAUUGGUCUGCUGUUUUUGUAAGGCAAACUAAACCACAGUAAUACAGAUUAUUUAGAUUAUAUCCAAUAUAGGACAAGGACAGUAAGAAUACCUCUAGGUGGCAUAACAAGAUGACUUUUCCUGGAAUGUAAAGCCAACUGAUAACAGCCAGAGCCAUUAACAUGCCAAGAAGCACUUAGAAAUAACAGGGAAAACUGGAUUAAUAAAGUGCAAUUAAUAAUAUUUUCUAAAGUUAAUACAAUAUUCACUGAGUUGGUUAAUGUAAGAUAAUUCCUUAAUUUAUGAAUGUUUCCAUAACUGAAAUUCCAGAAUUGUCAAAAGAUACCAAUUGUCAAAAGAAAGUCACGUGAUAAAAUA